UUGUGGGCGUGACCGUCCUCCU
This 22-nucleotide unclassified non-coding RNA is filed under the name Chlamydomonas reinhardtii. Its description in RNAcentral is "small RNA Cre_4068". The record is from RNAcentral. Lineage: Eukaryota; Viridiplantae; Chlorophyta; Chlorophyceae; Chlamydomonadales; Chlamydomonadaceae.